RNAcentral lists this ribosomal RNA (114 nucleotides) under Listeria monocytogenes. Lineage: Bacteria; Bacillati; Bacillota; Bacilli; Caryophanales; Listeriaceae. The record is from RNAcentral.
UCUUUCAACAACUUNGAAGGUCACACCCGUUCCCAUCCCGAACACGGUAGUUAAGCUUCUCUGCGCCAAUGGUAGUUGGGGGCUUCCCCCUGCGAGAGUAGGUCGCUGCCGGGC